CUCAAGCGGGAGCGAACAUGUUUUUCCGCAUGCAUUCAUUUCGCAUGCAUGCAGCAUCGAAAGAUCAUAAGCAAGACAAGAUACUUCUAUCGCUAGACGGCACAGAACAGCACGUGUCGAGAAGCUGGUCACUCUUGUCUGUUCGAGAAUAAUGAAACAGGAGGACAAGCAAGCAGGUGAGCCCUGCAUGUCCUUCCGGCUGUGCGUUCAUGUUGUGCGUAUUCUUUUUCUCGGAACAAACAAAGUGCAUGUGCAGUUCUCCGAAAGGCUCGUGCCCUGGCUUGAUAGACGCCACUGGCACCCGCUCGCAUGUCUUGGAAUUUCGUUGUUUUAGUUCUGCCUCAGCUAGAAGUGCUGAGCCCCAGUUGGCAACCUUCGCCUUCCUUGCCAAGGGGCAUACUAGUUCGUCUGGUCUUGCCGCCUGUGUACAGUUUACGUCAGAUGCAUAACGUCCCCUGUCGUCUCCAUCACUGGUUUUCUCUUCAUAGUGGAAAAGAAGGCGGACAAGGACUUCAUGUGAAGUAUAUUUUCUCCAUCCUCCAUGCGUUCAUAUGGACCUUUCUUUCUCAUUUCCAUCUGAUAACUAGUGUCCGGAUGCUUAGGACGAGAGGAGCUGUGAACAUCGCUUGGUUUUGUGCAAAUGUUACCGUACAUCUGAGUACUGCGUGUUCGUGUAUUUCCAAUGUCACAUGAAGAACUGCAAACUGAACGUCGC
Molecule: long non-coding RNA, 715 nt
Filed under: Toxoplasma gondii VEG
Lineage: Eukaryota; Apicomplexa; Conoidasida; Eucoccidiorida; Sarcocystidae
Source: RNAcentral